GUGGCUUCUGGAGUCUUCUAGAUGAAGUAAAAUUGCGCGGUGCGUUGAUAUCUCUAUGUAAUCCCGACAUGUGGGCCUUUCUUCCUUAUUUCCUGAUAACCCCCUGCAGAAAUAGAUAAACAACAAAACUCGUGGAAUUCUGUCAGAUCAAACCCUAAUUCUAGGUGAUGGUUGCAUAUUGGUCCAUUCUCUUGUUUAUUUGAUAAUUAAAAUUGAUACUUAAGAACCGUCAACAAAUACCCCCAUACUUAGGCUUUUACUCGUCCUCGAGAAAAGGAUGGUUAAGAACAAUAUCUGGGGUAAACAUUUAAAACAUUCUCUUUAUAUAAUUGUAGGGUGUUAAAAUUCCACUAUGUACCAUAGUCAGGGAAGUUUAUGAUUAAGAGUAAAGAUCCUUUCUUCUCGAUCCUGUCACUUGGAGUUUUUGUAUAUUUUUGAAAGAAAGUUAGCAUACCUUUUUAUCCUCAUAGGUUCUCUCAGAUCACUCAUUAUCUUUUAUAUAUAUCUCACUGAGGCUGUUUUAUUUUGCAAAAAUUCUCAAGCAUACUUACUUUGCAUUUAUUGCCUGAUCAAAACGGAAUCCGAGGAGGGGAAUGUCAUACUCUUAGAUCAAAGACUUUGAAAAUUAAAAACUUUGUCAACUCUUGCUGGCAUAUUGCUUAUUAGAGGGACCAUGGGCUAUCAUUUUUUUAAGUGGAUACCG
RNAcentral lists this long non-coding RNA (703 nucleotides) under Sorghum bicolor (sorghum). RNAcentral's name for it is "long non-coding RNA (SBIC_LNC017587)". The record is from RNAcentral. Lineage: Eukaryota; Viridiplantae; Streptophyta; Magnoliopsida; Poales; Poaceae.